This 70-nucleotide transfer RNA is filed under the name Artamus cyanopterus (dusky wood-swallow). RNAcentral describes it as "tRNA-Lys". Lineage: Eukaryota; Metazoa; Chordata; Aves; Passeriformes; Corvidae. The record is from RNAcentral.
CAUUAAGAAGCUAUGAAACAGCACUAGCCUUUUAAGCUAGAGAGAGGGGGACACACACCCCCCUUAAUGA